GAGUUUGAUCAUGGCUCAGGACGAACGCUGGCGGCGUGCCUAAUACAUGCAAGUCGAGCGAAUCACCGGGAGCUUGCUCUCGGCGAUUAGCGGCGGACGGGUGAGUAACACGUGGGCAACCUGCCUGUAAGACUGGGAUAACUUCGGGAAACCGGAGCUAAUACCGGAUCAAUCUUUUCCUCGCAUGAGGAAAAGCUAAAAGACGGUUUCGGCUGUCACUUACAGAUGGGCCCGCGGCGCAUUAGCUAGUUGGUGAGGUAACGGCUCACCAAGGCGACGAUGCGUAGCCGACCUGAGAGGGUGAUCGGCCACACUAGGACUGAGACACGGCCCAGACUCCUACGGGAGGCAGCAGUAGGGAAUCUUCCGCAAUGGACGAAAGUCUGACGGAGCAACGCCGCGUGAGUGAUGAAGGCC
This 417-nucleotide ribosomal RNA is filed under the name uncultured microorganism. RNAcentral's name for it is "bacterial SSU rRNA". It matches the Rfam family "Bacterial small subunit ribosomal RNA", at positions 9 to 416 of the family's 1533-position model. The record is from RNAcentral.